CCCUUAGAUGUUCUGGGCCGCACGCGCGCUACACUGACGAAUGCAACGAGCUUAUAACCUUGGCCGAAAGGUCUGGGUAAUCUCCAAAUUUCGUCGUGAUGGGGAUAGAUUAUUGCAAUUAUUAAUCUUCAACGAGGAAUGCCUAGUAAGCGCAAGUCAUCAGCUUGCGUUGAUUACGUCCCUGCCCUUUGUACACACCGCCCGUCGCUCCUACCGAUUGAAUGGUCCGGUGAAGCGUUCGGACCGUGUCCUUUGGACGGUUCGCCGUCUGUUGGCUGCGGGAAGUUCGUUAAACCUUAUCAUUUAGAGGAAGGAGAANUCGUAACA
This 327-nucleotide ribosomal RNA is filed under the name uncultured eukaryote. Its description in RNAcentral is "partial 18S ribosomal RNA". It matches the Rfam family "Eukaryotic small subunit ribosomal RNA", at positions 1470 to 1796 of the family's 1831-position model. The record is from RNAcentral.